Molecule: ribosomal RNA, 404 nt
Filed under: uncultured bacterium
Lineage: Bacteria
Description: bacterial SSU rRNA
Rfam family: Bacterial small subunit ribosomal RNA
Source: RNAcentral
UGGGGAAUCUUGGACAAUGGGGGAAACCCUGAUCCAGCCAUGCCGCGUGAAUGAUGAAGGCCUUAGGGUUGUAAAAUUCUUUCAGCGGGGAAGAUAAUGACGGUACCCGCAGAAGAAGCCCCGGCUAACUCCGUGCCAGCAGCCGCGGUAAUACGGAGGGGGCUAGCGUUGUUCGGAAUUACUGGGCGUAAAGCGCACGUAGGCGGCUCGGAAAGUCAGAGGUGAAAGCCCGGGGCUCAACCCCGGAAUAGCCUUUGAAACUAUCGAGCUCGAGUCCAGGAGAGGUGAGCGGAAUUCCGAGUGUAGAGGUGAAAUUCGUAGAUAUUCGGAGGAACACCAGAGGCGAAGGCGGCUCACUGGACUGGUACUGACGCUGAGGUGCGAAAGCGUGGGGAGCAAACAGG